This 305-nucleotide ribosomal RNA is filed under the name uncultured bacterium. RNAcentral's name for it is "bacterial SSU rRNA". It matches the Rfam family "Bacterial small subunit ribosomal RNA", at positions 331 to 654 of the family's 1533-position model. The record is from RNAcentral.
UUUGACCUACGGGGGGCAGCAGUCGGGAAUAUUGCGCAAUGGAGGAAACUCUGACGCAGUGACGCCGCGUGCAGGAAGAAGGUUUUCGGAUUGUAAACUGCUUUAGACAGGGAAGAUACAAGACAGUACCUGUAGAAUAAGCUCCGGCUAACUACGUGCCAGCAGCCGCGGUAAUACGUAGGGAGCUAGCGUUAUCCGGAUUUAUUGGGUGUAAAGGGUGCGUAGACGGGAGAACAAGUUAGUUGUGAAAUCCCUCGGCUUAACUGAGGAACUGCAACUAAAACUAUUUUUCUUGAGUGCUGGAG